Molecule: ribosomal RNA, 339 nt
Filed under: Triticum aestivum (bread wheat)
Lineage: Eukaryota; Viridiplantae; Streptophyta; Magnoliopsida; Poales; Poaceae
Description: partial small subunit ribosomal RNA
Source: RNAcentral
AUAGGCAAGGACACUAUUGCUGAUUUACUAACCUCUAUAAGAAAUGCGGACAUGAAUAGAAAAGGAACAGUUCGAGUAGUAUCUACAAAUAUUACCAAAAACAUUGUUAAAAUACUUCUACAAGAGGGUAGAAAGACUAGAAAAGGAAUAUAUAGAACAAGAACCUUUUUAAAGCGUAUCAGCCGACCCGGCUUACGAAUUUAUACCAACUAUCAAGGAAUUCCUAAAGUUUUGGGUGGAAUGGGAAUUGCUAUUCUUUCUACUUCUCAAGGAAUAAUGACAGAUCGAGAAGCUCGACUAAACAGAAUUGGGGGAGAAGUCUUAUGUUAUAUAUGGUAA